RNAcentral lists this long non-coding RNA (517 nucleotides) under Cricetulus griseus (Chinese hamster). RNAcentral's name for it is "lncRNA (ENSCGRG00015042183.1)". Lineage: Eukaryota; Metazoa; Chordata; Mammalia; Rodentia; Cricetidae. The record is from RNAcentral.
UGCCCGGCUCCCGUGCAGUGGGUUCCGGAGACUGGAGCUGGGAUUCGGGUUGGUGGUGGCCGAACGGAGGGUGCGUUCGUGCGGAUCCACAUCGCCGCACCAGGUCCCGCCUGUGGAAGACGUGUCGUGCUCCUCCCUAGCGCGACGAGAUGGUGGCUUCUGCGGGACGGAGCGCCCCAGGGCGCCCCAGAAGACGUUCAGAGAUAGAGUGGUCCAGGCUUCGGGAGGAUGUGGGACAGUGAUACAGCUCCGCGUCGGACUCAGAUUGUGCCAGGGAUGGGAACCUUGGGGGUGACCAGGACUCCAGGCACGGCGCAUCAAGAAGUCUUUCCGAGCCUGGGGAUCUUGAGCUGCUAUGGCGCAGAGACCGUGGUCAAUCCCGCUCCAUGCCGGGCGAGCCGCGCAGAGCGCAGAUCCGAAGCUCGGAAGCCUUUGCGCGCACGCUUGGGAGUCACAGGUCUAUUCGCAGAGCACUUGGUUGCUUUAAAUAGGGGCGAGGACAGAAAAGUUUGCACCA